CUCGCUGAAAGUGAAACUUAUUCAUCAACGUCUUCCGACGCCGGCAGUCACGAGUGUCCACUUUCAAUCGAUCAUUGGAAACAUCCUUAUAUGAUUGCAGAAGGAAGAAGAGAAGCUUGAAGAACCAUGGGUUAAGCUAAAGAUUGUGUUUCUUGAUGCUCAAAAUGUACUGAUUAUUAAGCACAAUGUACAAGCUGUUUGUGGGUUGAUAUUAUACGAAUGUGUUGUGUUGGUGGUGGUGGUGGUGGUAGAUCUGGUCGGAGAUGGUGGUGGUCGCUGGUGAUUUUUUGACGGGGAUGGUGAGUGUGGUUAAAUUAUUUUAUUUAAUAACAAAGGUGGAGUCC
This 344-nucleotide long non-coding RNA is filed under the name Helianthus annuus (common sunflower). RNAcentral describes it as "hypothetical non coding rna". The record is from RNAcentral. Lineage: Eukaryota; Viridiplantae; Streptophyta; Magnoliopsida; Asterales; Asteraceae.